Long non-coding RNA from Photinus pyralis (common eastern firefly), 1087 nucleotides. RefSeq lists it as uncharacterized. The record is from RefSeq and is a predicted model, not a curated record. NCBI's taxonomy places the organism in Eukaryota, Metazoa, Arthropoda, Insecta, Coleoptera, Lampyridae. The transcript has 5 exons.
UAAUAGUGUUUUUUAAUAAAAAAUAUAAUUAAAAACGCCGUGAUAAUUAAAGUGCUAACCAAGGAACUGCAGCGGAAGUCCACGGAACUUCGUGUUCAUGGAUUAAAAUAAGUUACCAGUACUGGAGAUCGUAGAUGGCUUCGGUUUGUCCCGUUACGUCCUUCCCUUGGGUCCAGGCGAGCCCGAAUUAAUAAGGCUAAAGGAUUCCAGAAGGGCAGCCUUAUAAAGGUAGGAUUUUUCUUUUUCUAAGCAUGAGUCUUACUGUAUAUUUUUGUGUGGGGGAAGUGUAUAGUGUAGGACGAUCAGCGACCGGCAUUUGUUAAAUGAGUUGUGACUAUUAUGCUCGCCGGGAGUGAAUGCCGAUCACAGAACACCUGAUCUCGGUCUAUAAUCGUCCUGGACGAUUGCAAACCGGCAUCGGGUGUUCUGUGACCGCGCCAUUCUCUCCUGGCGAGCAUAAUAUCUUCUCAACAUCUCAUCUUGGCGACUUAAGGCUGGGUGCACGAGUCAAUCAUUUCACUUUAUAUUAAUCAGUAUGACUAUGAAUUCAUGGCCAUAUUACUUUUUUGAAGUGAAUGGGUUUUCUCUGCGAAAUGGGAAGCAUUGCAGCUAAUCCUUCCGUUGCCAAGUUGAGCGACUUCGAAGAUUGUCAUACCUCAUUUAUUAUUGCAAGAAGAUUGGCUUAAAAGGUGAGUAAAUGAUCUACAAAAUAGGCGUGUUCGUAUAUUAAUCAAAUGGUUGGUUACUAGACGAACACGCCCUAUACAAUGAAUUACUUUUGAAGAGGGUACUUAGAUUUGCCUACUAAUUUCAUCACUUGUUCUCAGAGCCAAUGGAGAGGUAACCAGGACAACUACUAGAAGUCAUCAAUCCAAGUCUACUGUCAACCCAUGGCCAUGGCUCAAAUAAACGAGCAGCGCCAAUGGAGGACUUACAACGCCGAUGAGGACUACGCGAACAACGUCUGGAAUGCAUCUGAUCGAAUCCAAGUCUACUCUCCCAUUCAACGAUCCCGUGGACAUAGCAAACGAGCUGCAGUUGCUGUUGGUGAUAUUUCCGAAUAUAACGUUGAUAUUACAUAUUAUGG